This 467-nucleotide ribosomal RNA is filed under the name uncultured bacterium. RNAcentral describes it as "partial 16S ribosomal RNA". It matches the Rfam family "Bacterial small subunit ribosomal RNA", at positions 28 to 507 of the family's 1533-position model. The record is from RNAcentral.
GAUGAACGCUGGCGGCGUGCUUAACACAUGCAAGUCGAACGGAAAGGCUCCUGCUUGCAGGGGUACUCGAGUGGCGAACGGGUGAGUAACACGUGGGUGAUCUGCCCUGCACUUCGGGAUAAGCCUGGGAAACUGGGUCUAAUACCGGAUAGGACCACAUUUUGGAUGGUGUGGUGGAAAGUUUUUCGGUGUGGGAUGAGCUCGCGGCCUAUCAGCUUGUUGGUGGGGUAAUGGCCUACCAAGGCGUCGACGGGUAGCCGGCCUGAGAGGGUGUACGGCCACAUUGGGGCUGAGAUACGGCCCAGACUCCUACGGGAGGCAGCAGUGGGGCAUAUUGCACAAUGGGGGCGAGCCUGAUGCAGCGACGCCGCGUGGGGGAUGACGGCCUUCGGGUUGUAAACUCCUUUCGCUAGGGACGAAGCGUUUUUGUGACGGUACCUGGAGAAGAAGCACCGGCUAACUACGUG